This 404-nucleotide transfer-messenger RNA is filed under the name pig gut metagenome. It matches the Rfam family "transfer-messenger RNA". Rfam says of the family: Bacterial tmRNA, also known as 10Sa RNA or SsrA, is named for its dual tRNA and mRNA-like properties. Its role is to liberate the mRNA from a stalled ribosome. The record is from RNAcentral.
GGGGAUGACUUGGCUUUGACAGCGUGUAGAAGCGACCGGUAAGCAUGCAGAGCUUCGGCGAUAAAGCUCUAUAAUCACAAUGUCGUCGAACUAUAAUUGGCGAAAACAACAACUACGCUCUCGCUGCUUGAUUUGAAGUAUAGUAGAAUCGCUUAAUCCGCGCCACAGUGGCGCAGACGAGACAUCACCCCAUUGCCCUGUUCCGAGACGUUUGGAUAAGGUGGUGCAGAGAAAUUCGGAAAUUGGAGACGUCACGCCUCGCGGCGUCUCUGAAACUUAGAGGAUAAGGUUGCGAUUGGUUGUCUCGAGCCUGUCGCAACACGAAAACCAACUCGAUGACUAAGCAUGUAGAAAGCCCGUUGAUUCCGCGUUUGGACGAGGGUUCAAUUCCCUCCAUCUCCACU